RNAcentral lists this ribosomal RNA (510 nucleotides) under uncultured bacterium. Its description in RNAcentral is "partial 16S ribosomal RNA". It matches the Rfam family "Bacterial small subunit ribosomal RNA", at positions 28 to 507 of the family's 1533-position model. The record is from RNAcentral.
GACGAACGCUGGCGGCGUGCUUAACACAUGCAAGUCGAACGAAGAGCGAUGGACGCUUGCUUCUAUCAAUCUUAGUGGCGAACGGGUGAGUAACGCGUAAUCAACCUGCCCUUCAGAGGGGGACAACAGUUGGAAACGACUGCUAAUACCGCAUACGAUCUAAUCUCGGCAUCGAGGAUAGAUGAAAGGUGGCCUCUACAUGUAAGCUAUCACUGAAGGAGGGGAUUGCGUCUGAUUAGCUAGUUGGAGGGGUAACGGCCCACCAAGGCGAUGAUCGGUAGCCGGUCUGAGAGGAUGAACGGCCACAUUGGGACUGAGACACGGCCCAGACUCCUACGGGAGGCAGCAGUGGGGAAUCUUCCGCAAUGGACGAAAGUCUGACGGAGCAACGCCGCGUGAGUGAUGACGGCCUUCGGGUUGUAAAGCUCUGUUAAUCGGGACGAAAGGCCUUCUUGCGAAUAGUGAGAAGGAUUGACGGUACCGGAAGAGAAAGCCACGGCUAACUACGUG